This 312-nucleotide ribosomal RNA is filed under the name Triticum aestivum (bread wheat). RNAcentral describes it as "partial small subunit ribosomal RNA". Lineage: Eukaryota; Viridiplantae; Streptophyta; Magnoliopsida; Poales; Poaceae. The record is from RNAcentral.
AUGAGUCCACUAUACCUACCUAUAUGUGGUAUCUACCUGCCGUUCCAAGUAAAUUUGUAUGUGCCAAACUCCAAACCUUCAAAUGAAAUUCUGUUUUGUAUGCUCGAGCAGCUCAUGUUACAACUAGGGCUGCCUAUAUCUUCCAUGCUAGGUGGGUUAUUCUCAAGAGGAGUGGACUCCGCUCCUCAUUCACGAGAAAGGGCCGGUAACCGGGAUGCCCUGUCCCAUGAUCCAAAACGAUCAAAGCAAAUCAAAAUAAUUAAACAAAACUCCCCCAGGGUUGUUGUAUGUUGGAGGCACUCGUUGUUUUGA